Long non-coding RNA from Epinephelus lanceolatus (giant grouper), 776 nucleotides. RefSeq lists it as uncharacterized. NCBI's taxonomy places the organism in Eukaryota, Metazoa, Chordata, Actinopteri, Perciformes, Serranidae. The record is from RefSeq and is a predicted model, not a curated record.
CACACCCUGAAAAAUGGGCGCUCGGGAACACGUGUGUCGCUCUGGUGUUGCUCUGGUGUUUGAGCGCGCCUGCUGUGCGUCUACACUGCUACUUUAAACUUCAACUUCUCUUUCAGAGAAACCUCAGAUUCAGAGCUCAGUCUGACUGGAACAUGACGUCGAUUGAAACCUUGAACACUGAAGAUGAUUUAAUUCCAGCAACAUGGCGACCACUGAGGGGGAGAAGUGUCUGCCACACUCAAACAAGCAUGUAUAAAUCCAGAGGUGUCUGACCUGAGAUGCAACAAGUGUCCACACAGAGGACAUUUUUGACAUUUUAAGUUGCAGCAGUUGAGGACAAACGGAAAAUAUCACCAACAGAGCUAAAAAGUUGAAUUUAAAGGAGCCUGAUGGGAAACUUAAGAGAAGGCGUGGACAUGGGAACUGGAAUAUUUUUUCCAAAUGCUGCUCCGACACUGUACUCCAUUCACCUACCGGCAGCACCACCAGCAGCACCAGCAGCACCAGCAGCACCACCAGUGUUAGUGUACGUGUUAGUAUUAGCAGUGUUACUUGUACUAGUUGUAAAACUGCUAAAAAGAUAAAAGACAAAAAGAUCGGAGAUGUUGUUUGAUCUGAAUAAUGUAACUUUGAUUUGCAAAUCUUUUAUUACCUUAAUUCAGUUGAGGACAGAACAAAGACGAGAUAUUUAAUGUUCAAACUGAUAAACUUUAUUGUUUUUUGUAAAUCUGCACUCACUCUGCAGCAGGUUUUAAUAAAGCUGGGACACAGCCACU